RNAcentral lists this ribosomal RNA (899 nucleotides) under uncultured Bacillota bacterium. Its description in RNAcentral is "bacterial SSU rRNA". It matches the Rfam family "Bacterial small subunit ribosomal RNA", at positions 60 to 935 of the family's 1533-position model. The record is from RNAcentral. Lineage: Bacteria; Bacillati; Bacillota.
AGUCGAACGCGAAAGGGGCUUCGGUCCUGAGUAGAGUGGCGAACGGGUAAGUAACACGUGGGUGAUCUACCUUCGAGUGGGGGAUAACGUUCCGAAAGGAACGCUAAUACCGCAUGACGUUCCGGGUUUGAAGACCUGGAAACCAAAGCCGGAGACCACAAGGCCUGGCGCUUGAAGAGGAGCCCGCGUCCGAUUAGCUAGUUGGCGGGGUAAUGGCCCACCAAGGCGACGAUCGGUAGCCGGCCUGAGAGGGCGGACGGCCACACUGGAACUGAGACACGGUCCAGACUCCUACGGGAGGCAGCAGUGGGGAAUUGUUCACAAUGGGCGCAAGCCUGAUGACGCAACGCCGCGUGGGGGAUGAAGGUCUUCGGAUCAUAAACCCCUGUCGAAUGGGACGAAAGACUCGCGAUUUAAUACUGCGCGAGAGUGACGGUACCGUUAAAGGAAGCCACGGCUAACUCUGUGCCAGCAGCCGCGGUAAUACAGAGGUGGCAAGCGUUGUUCGGAAUUACUGGGCGUAAAGGGCGAGUAGGCGGCCUUCUAAGUCAGACGUGAAAUCCCCCGGCUUAACCUGGGAACUGCGUCUGAUACUGGGAGGCUCGAGUAUGGGAGAGGGAUGUAGAAUUCCAGGUGUAGCGGUGAAAUGCGUAGAUAUCUGGAGGAAUACCGGUGGCGAAGGCGGCAUCCUGGACCAUUACUGACGCUGAAUCGCGAAAGCUAGGGGAGCAAACGGGAUUAGAUACCCCGGUAGUCCUAGCCCUAAACGAUGAAUACUUGGUGUGGCGGGUAUCGAUCCCUGCCGUGCCGAAGCUAACGCAUUAAGUAUUCCGCCUGGGGGAGUACGGUCGCAAGGCUGAAACUCAAAGGAANUUGACGGGGGCCCGCACAAGCGGUGG